GGGGCUAUAGUUUAGUGAUAGAGUAUAUGUCUUGCACACAUGAGGUACUGGCUUCUACCCCAAUAGCCUCU
Molecule: transfer RNA, 71 nt
Filed under: Dipodomys ordii (Ord's kangaroo rat)
Lineage: Eukaryota; Metazoa; Chordata; Mammalia; Rodentia; Heteromyidae
Rfam family: tRNA
About the family: Transfer RNA (tRNA) molecules are approximately 80 nucleotides in length. Their secondary structure includes four short double-helical elements and three loops (D, anti-codon, and T loops). Further hydrogen bonds mediate the characteristic L-shaped molecular structure. tRNAs have two regions of fundamental functional importance: the anti-codon, which is responsible for specific mRNA codon recognition, and the 3' end, to which the tRNAs corresponding amino acid is attached (by aminoacyl-tRNA synthetases). tRNAs cope with the degeneracy of the genetic code in two manners: having more than one tRNA (with a specific anti-codon) for a particular amino acid; and 'wobble' base-pairing, i.e. permitting non-standard base-pairing at the 3rd anti-codon position.
Source: Rfam by way of RNAcentral